GAAGAUGUUGAUGAGAGUAAAGUGAUCUCCUGCGGGGUGUGAGAAUUUUCGCCAGCAAGUAAGAGCAAUCUCUUCUGUUCCAGGAGGGCUGCUUGCCAACACCAACCACUGCUGCCGUCGAGGCAAACCGCAAGGCUUUGUGACUUGACUGCUGCUUUCACCGGAGCAAAGUUAAAAAGAAGCUCUCAAGAUGUGUCCUGUGCUUUCAACAAGAAACUCUCUGACGUUCCUGGCAUUUUAAAAGCUUGGAAAUGAGAGCAGUCAGCACUUUGAUAAAUUGACAGACACGUUUUGCAAUAACUCUGUAAGUACACUCUAAGAUAAAUGUCUUUUUCUGAAGAAAUGUACUUUAGAGCACAAAAUGUAUAUCUAUGCUAUCAUCAAGAAAAG
Athene cunicularia (burrowing owl) is the source of this 390-nucleotide long non-coding RNA. RefSeq lists it as uncharacterized. Lineage: Eukaryota; Metazoa; Chordata; Aves; Strigiformes; Strigidae. The record is from RefSeq and is a predicted model, not a curated record. The transcript has 3 exons.